Molecule: ribosomal RNA, 481 nt
Filed under: Pseudomonas sp. CL3.119
Lineage: Bacteria; Pseudomonadati; Pseudomonadota; Gammaproteobacteria; Pseudomonadales; Pseudomonadaceae
Description: bacterial SSU rRNA
Rfam family: Bacterial small subunit ribosomal RNA
Source: RNAcentral
CCCAUGGCUCAGAUUGAACGCUGGCGGCAGGCCUAACACAUGCAAGUCGAGCGGAUGACAGGAGCUUGCUCCUGAAUUCAGCGGCGGACGGGUGAGUAAUGCCUAGGAAUCUGCCUGGUAGUGGGGGACAACGUUUCGAAAGGAACGCUAAUACCGCAUACGUCCUUACGGGAGAAAGCAGGGGACCUUCGGGCCUUGCGCUAUCAGAUGAGCCUAGGUCGGAUUAGCUAGUUGGUGAGGUAAUGGCUCACCAAGGCGACGAUCCGUAACUGGUCUGAGAGGAUGAUCAGUCACACUGGAACUGAGACACGGUCCAGACUCCUACGGGAGGCAGCAGUGGGGAAUAUUGGACAAUGGGCGAAAGCCUGAUCCAGCCAUGCCGCGUGUGUGAAGAAGGUCUUCGGAUUGUAAAGCACUUUAAGUUGGGAGGAAGGGCAGUAACAUAAUACGUUAGUGUUUUGACGUUACCGACAGAAUAAGC